This 66-nucleotide transfer RNA is filed under the name Lysiosquillina maculata. RNAcentral's name for it is "tRNA-Leu". It matches the Rfam family "tRNA". From Rfam's summary of the family: Transfer RNA (tRNA) molecules are approximately 80 nucleotides in length. Their secondary structure includes four short double-helical elements and three loops (D, anti-codon, and T loops). Lineage: Eukaryota; Metazoa; Arthropoda; Malacostraca; Stomatopoda; Lysiosquillidae. The record is from RNAcentral.
UCUAAAAUGGCAGAGAAGUGCAAUGGAUUUAAGCUCCAUAUAUGAAGGAUACUCCUUCUUUUAGAA